UCGGGAUAGCUCAGCCGGUAGAACAG
This 26-nucleotide transfer RNA is filed under the name Cordeauxia edulis (yeheb bush). RNAcentral describes it as "partial tRNA-Phe". Lineage: Eukaryota; Viridiplantae; Streptophyta; Magnoliopsida; Fabales; Fabaceae. The record is from RNAcentral.